Molecule: long non-coding RNA, 1294 nt
Organism: Bombus terrestris (buff-tailed bumblebee)
Lineage: Eukaryota; Metazoa; Arthropoda; Insecta; Hymenoptera; Apidae
Exons: 3
Source: RefSeq, a predicted model, not a curated record
CGGACUGAAACAGAACGCACGCGGCUCCGCAGGUCACGCUCGAAACAAACUUUUCUAGAAUCAUUCAAUCAUACAAAGACGAGAUUUAACCCUUCUUUAUAGUGUAGCUCGGACGAGAAAGUCAGACAAGAUGUCAAGUAUACAUAGUACUAUAAUAUAUCGCACAUUUUCACUGGCGGAUAAGGGGAAGUUUAUAAUACAAGAAGUAUAAAAGAUAAUUGAUAAUAAUAUGACACUUUAUGGAUAUUUGAAUACUUGAAAACUCGAAACGUGACUACAGAUCUGGAAUGCGCGAAUAAAAUAAAAUUAUUAUACCUCUAUAUUUCACCUUCAAUAGGGACAUUUCAUUCCUGGCAGAGAAACGUUACAAUCUUCAAGCGUACUCCUAUGAAAUUUAAUUCCGCGUAAUUUAAUUACUCGAAAGAAGAUUAGCUUUUUCCCAUGUGACAAUGUACCGAAUUUGCGUUUUAAUUCAGAAAAACAGAGAGAAGGAGGAAGGAACUGGACGGAGAUACAAAUCUUUAAUUAUCGUCAAUGACGAUAUGUAGAUUAAACAUCGUACGGGAAAGGCAUACGCGAAAUAAUUCCUCCUCCUGGCUGAGUUUAAAGUUUAUUUGCGUAUCCGUGACACGAGCACGUUGCCGGUGCCAACGCGACGUACACUGAAAUAAGAGACACCACUUAAGCGACAGAUUUAUGCGAACAGAUAUAUACGCGUUUCUCGCAAAAGAACCAAUUUUUUUUACGUUCUUUCUUUGCACGACGCGGUGCUUCUUCGUGAAUUACGAUCCCAACAGCCUUGUUUUGUUUUAUAAUUUUACGUCGUGUACAGCAGUUUAGUUUAGUUGACUGCGAUGUAUGCAAUGGAAUUUCACGUGCUGCAACGAAAUUUUAAUUAACGUUUGAUUAAAUAAACCGUUUGUCAGUCGAAUCAUGUAACGGGAACAUAACAUUGCAGUUUAAUAAGUUAUGAAAUAAAGGAUAAAUAUAUUUGUUUUCGAUAAAACUGGUGUCUAAUUUUAGUGCGUUGUGUCUUUUUUAUAAAACUAUUGGUGGAAACAUGUUUUUCUUAUUUGCGAUAAAUGAAAAUCUAUUCUCAUGAGCUACGAAGGAAGAAAUUCUGAAAGAGUUAAUAUAAAAAUUAUAAUCCAAAACGCGGUUCCUCACGAGCUAUCUAGUUAGUACGUGAUAAUACAUGCAUACAUUUUGAAUAUAUCGCAAAACCAUUUAUAAAAAAAUUCAAUAUUAAAAUAUUCGAUAUAUAUUCUGUAUUAAUAAUAAAAUAUGUAAGAUC